RNAcentral lists this ribosomal RNA (492 nucleotides) under uncultured bacterium. Its description in RNAcentral is "partial 16S ribosomal RNA". It matches the Rfam family "Bacterial small subunit ribosomal RNA", at positions 29 to 507 of the family's 1533-position model. The record is from RNAcentral.
AGCGAACGCUGGCGGUAGGCCUAACACAUGCAAGUCGAACGGCAGCACAGUAAGAGCUUGCUCUUACGGGUGGCGAGUGGCGGACGGGUGAGGAAUACAUCGGAAUCUACUUUUUCGUGGGGGAUAACGUAGGGAAACUUACGCUAAUACCGCAUACGACCUACGGGUGAAAUCAGGGGAUCUUCGGACCUUGCGCGAUUGAAUGAGCCGAUGUCGGAUUAGCUAGUUGGCGGGGUAAAGGCCCACCAAGGCGACGAUCCGUAGCUGGUCUGAGAGGAUGAUCAGCCACACUGGAACUGAGACACGGUCCAGACUCCUACGGGAGGCAGCAGUGGGGAAUAUUGGACAAUGGGCGCAAGCCUGAUCCAGCCAUACCGCGUGGGUGAAGAAGGCCUUCGGGUUGUAAAGCCCUUUUGUUGGGAAAGAAAAGCAGCAGGUUAAUACCCCGCUGUUCUGACGGUACCCAAAGAAUAAGCACCGGCUAACUUCGUG